UGUGCCCUGAAUUGCAAGGUCAGAAAAAUGAAUGUCAUAUGAAUUUUAGCAACACCUGUGGGUUAUAUUUAUGCUGCACAUCCCCUGUCUCUCUAUCUCUGGUGCAGCUUUUUCUAGGAAGAGUGUGUUCCUGCUGCAGUCUUGUAUUGUUCCUAGUUAAGGUGACACUUGCUGACACAGCUAUAACAGCAGCAUGCAAGGCACCCACAGAGGUGAGCCACAGCUUGCAUCAAAGAAUCAGAGUUUAAGGCCGGAUAAAAAGAUAAGCACCAGAAAGCUUUGCAGAAAAGAGAAGGGGGGAAAAGAGCGUUUAAAGGUUUAUGUUUGUAACUGCCUGCUGACAAACUAAUGGAUGAGACAUUGUGUCUUUCUGCUGGAGCUGAUGGGCUGUCUCGAAAGGAGCUGCAUGGUGGACUAAGCCAGCAGGUGUACUCCGCCUCCCCUCCUCAGCUGCUUCUGGCUCAGGAGAGGAUGAGCUGUGCUUUACAUAGUCCUGUUGCAUCACUGAGUGGCAUCAAUCAGUUUUCUGAGCUGCAGUGUUUGUUUUUUGUAACAGAUAAUCAUGGGCAGCCUUAGCUAUGUUUCACCUGUUUCAAUUGAAACGGAACCCAUCCUCCCGAAGGGCCCCUGACUGACAUGCAAGAAUCAAGAA
Thunnus maccoyii (southern bluefin tuna) is the source of this 652-nucleotide long non-coding RNA. RefSeq lists it as uncharacterized. NCBI's taxonomy places the organism in Eukaryota, Metazoa, Chordata, Actinopteri, Scombriformes, Scombridae. The transcript has 3 exons. The record is from RefSeq and is a predicted model, not a curated record.